GGGGCCGUAGCCCAACGGCAGGAGGCAGCGUCUUUAGGUGGCGCGCAGUAUGGGUUCGAAUCCCAUCGGCCCCACAA
Molecule: transfer RNA, 77 nt
Filed under: Streptosporangium minutum
Lineage: Bacteria; Bacillati; Actinomycetota; Actinomycetes; Streptosporangiales; Streptosporangiaceae
Description: tRNA-Leu
Rfam family: tRNA
About the family: Transfer RNA (tRNA) molecules are approximately 80 nucleotides in length.
Source: RNAcentral